GGAUGUGAGGGUGAUCUGGCUGCGACAUCUGUCACCCCAUUGAUCGCCAGGGUUGAUUUGGCUGAUCUGGCUGGCUAGGCGGGUGUCGCCUUCCUCCCUCACCGCUCCAUGUGCGUCCCUCCCGAAGCUGCGCGCUCGGUCGAAGAGGACGACCAUCCCCGAUAGAGGAGGACCGUUCUUCGGUCAAGGGUAUACGAGUAGCUGCGCUCCCCUGCUAGAACCUCCAAACAAGCUCUCAAAGCUCAACAUGUGCCUACUCAGCACAAAAGCCACAGGAGACCACCAGUCUGGGAAGGGCAGAAAGGCCCCACCACACGUGUCCUUGAGCAGGUGUGCAUCUUCCCACAACCAGGCGAUGUGU
This 361-nucleotide small nuclear RNA is filed under the name Castor canadensis (American beaver). Its description in RNAcentral is "7SK RNA (ENSCCNG00000005183.1)". It matches the Rfam family "7SK RNA". Rfam says of the family: 7SK was discovered as an abundant small nuclear RNA in the mid-70s but a possible function has only recently been suggested. Two independent studies have found that 7SK RNA binds the CDK9/cyclin T complex (known as elongation factor P-TEFb). The record is from RNAcentral. Lineage: Eukaryota; Metazoa; Chordata; Mammalia; Rodentia; Castoridae.